AGAGCGAACGCUGGCGGCGUGCUUAACACAUGCAAGUCGAACGAGGUCUGUAGCAAUACAGAUACUCGUGGCGAACGGGUGCGUAACACGUGGAUAACCUUCCUUCAGGUGGGGAAUAACCCAGUGAAAAUUGGGCUAAUACCGCAUAACAUGACGAUGCCACAUGGUGUUGUCUUCAAAGGCGCAAGUCGCCAGAAGAGGGAUCCGCGGCCGAUUAGCUAGUUGGCGAGGUAAUGGCUCACCAAGGCAAUGAUCGGUAGCCGGACUGAGAGGUUGGCCGGGCCACACUGGAACUGAAACACGGUCCAGACUCCUACGGGAGGCAGCAGUGGGGAAUUUUGCGCAAUGGGGGAAACCCUGACGCAGCAACGCCGCGUGGAGGAUGAAGUCCCUUGGGACGUAAACUCCUUUCGAUCGGGACGAUAUGACGGUACCGAGAGAAGAAGCCCCGGCUAACUUCGUGCCGGCAGCCGC
RNAcentral lists this ribosomal RNA (474 nucleotides) under uncultured bacterium. Its description in RNAcentral is "SSU rRNA". It matches the Rfam family "Bacterial small subunit ribosomal RNA", at positions 26 to 518 of the family's 1533-position model. The record is from RNAcentral.